This 386-nucleotide unclassified non-coding RNA is filed under the name Hevea brasiliensis (rubber tree). The record is from RNAcentral. Lineage: Eukaryota; Viridiplantae; Streptophyta; Magnoliopsida; Malpighiales; Euphorbiaceae.
UUAGUUGAGUUGAGUUGAGUAUUGGUUAUGAGAACCUGAAUUGUUCAACCAUAUGGGGAUAUUGGGCCUGGUUUUCAUUAACUUGAUGGAGAUAGAGGUUAACAACACUUAAAAUGUUUCAUUUCUUCUUAUUUUCUAAGAAGGCUGGAAACCAGUUUCUUUCUAAUGCUACCUGAUUUUUAAGGGACGUGUUAUUGUAUGAUUUUCUUCUCUUAGUAACUUAUGACUUGUCUGAACACUUGAGGUAGUGGAUGGGUGUUGGGAAAGAAAGUUUUGCUUGAUUUUGAGCUGUAGGACAAGAAUAUUCAUAAGGUUGAGUUCUUUGAUUUAGGCCUACUAGUUUAUGUCUGUUUAAGCUUUAUUAUGGCUAUUAAUUUGACCCCUUG